GCUCAGUUGGUGGAAUGUGAGACUCUUGAUCUUGGGAUUGUGAGUUCAACCCCCACAUUGAGCA
RNAcentral lists this transfer RNA (64 nucleotides) under Felis catus (domestic cat). It matches the Rfam family "tRNA". From Rfam's summary of the family: Transfer RNA (tRNA) molecules are approximately 80 nucleotides in length. Their secondary structure includes four short double-helical elements and three loops (D, anti-codon, and T loops). The record is from Rfam by way of RNAcentral. Lineage: Eukaryota; Metazoa; Chordata; Mammalia; Carnivora; Felidae. RNAcentral also lists the same sequence under 4 other names.